This 603-nucleotide ribosomal RNA is filed under the name uncultured fungus. RNAcentral's name for it is "eukaryotic LSU rRNA". It matches the Rfam family "Eukaryotic large subunit ribosomal RNA", at positions 23 to 641 of the family's 3401-position model. Lineage: Eukaryota; Fungi. The record is from RNAcentral.
ACCCGCUGAACUUAAGCAUAUCAAUAAGCGGAGGAAAAGAAACCAACAGGGAUUGCCCUAGUAACGGCGAGUGAAGCGGCAACAGCUCAAAUUUGAAAUCUGGCCCUUUCAGGGUCCGAGUUGUAAUUUGCAGAGGGUGCUUUGGCGUCGGUUGUGGUCUAAGUUCCUUGGAACAGGACGUCACAGAGGGUGAGAAUCCCGUACGUGGCCGCCAACCUUCACCGUGUAAAGCCCCUUCGACGAGUCGAGUUGUUUGGGAAUGCAGCUCUAAAUGGGAGGUAAAUUCCUUCUAAAGCUAAAUACUGGCCAGAGACCGAUAGCGCACAAGUAGAGUGAUCGAAAGAUGAAAAGCACUUUGGAAAGAGAGUCAAAAAGCACGUGAAAUUGUUGAAAGGGAAGCGCUUGCAGCCAGACUUGCCUGUAGUUGCUCAUCCGGGUUUUUACCCGGUGCACUCUUCUAUAGGCAGGCCAGCAUCAGUUUGGGCGGUUGGAUAAAGGUCUCUGUCAUGUACCUCUCUUCGGGGAGAACUUAUAGGGGAGACGACAUGCAACCAGCCCGGACUGAGGUCCGCGCAUCUGCUAGGAUGCUGGCGUAAUGGCUGU